ACGAUUGGGCGAAAUAAAAUAAACUCGUCUGCCUUUUCCCCAAAUUCUUUAUUUUGACAAAUCUAUCUCCACGUGAGAUCAUUGCGAACUUUGCUUUAUCUCAUCGUAUUUUACAUGAUACAAUUCGCAGCCGAUGUCCGUGUUAUCAGUCCCAGCCCAUCCUUUGUUCUAGCUUAGCAAACGAUGUAUUCCAUAUCGCAUUUCCGUCCAAUUUCGCUCUUCCUCUGUGUGGAAAUUUCGCUCGGGUUUGUAAUCACUUCCCAAUCGACUGAAGACCUCUUCCCCGUGCAAACGCCCAACCGGGCAAACCCUCAAACUUUUUUCAAAAAUUCCGAACUGAUGUGGUGUCCCGACGGCUAUAACUUCGACCCAAAACUGCUAUUUUGCGCAAAACUGGAACCCACCACAAUCUUUGAAGAUCUCAAGCCCAAUCCACACAACUGUAGCACAUUCUUUAAUUGUAAUGGCAUUUUUUGCCACCUUAUGAACUGUUCUGACCACCUUAUUUUCAACAACGCCCGAAAAGUGUGUGAUUAUCCGCAAGAAGCAAACUGCUGUGAAUUCGAGGCAAAAAACCCCGACGUGCUGAUCCCGCCGGAAUUUGCGCAACAACAAACUUAUUCUCAGUGAAGUGAUUUAUUGUAUCUGGUGCCUGAUAAAAGUAAAAACAACGUGCAAAAGUGA
RNA transcript from Tribolium castaneum (red flour beetle), 684 nucleotides. RefSeq lists it as uncharacterized. Lineage: Eukaryota; Metazoa; Arthropoda; Insecta; Coleoptera; Tenebrionidae. The record is from RefSeq and is a predicted model, not a curated record. The transcript is spliced from 2 exons.